RNAcentral lists this ribosomal RNA (254 nucleotides) under uncultured bacterium. RNAcentral describes it as "partial 16S ribosomal RNA". It matches the Rfam family "Bacterial small subunit ribosomal RNA", at positions 524 to 777 of the family's 1533-position model. The record is from RNAcentral.
UACGAAGGGGGCUAGCGUUGCUCGGAAUCACUGGGCGUAAAGCGCACGUAGGCGGAUCUUUAAGUCAGGGGUGAAAUCCCGGAGCUCAACUCCGGAACUGCCUUUGAUACUGAGGGUCUCGAGUUCGGGAGAGGUGAGUGGAACUGCGAGUGUAGAGGUGAAAUUCGUAGAUAUUCGCAAGAACACCAGUGGCGAAGGCGGCUCACUGGCCCGGUACUGACGCUGAGGUGCGAAAGCGUGGGGAGCAAACAGGG